CUCCACUGCAACCUUUGGACUAGUUUUUGACGAGCUAGCUAGCUAACCCAACACUAACCAGAUUGACAGAAUAGAACAUCACAAGUCUGGAGUGUGACUAUUUAUAAACAUUUGAGCUUUCUUUUGCUUUGUCAGGUGUGCUAUACUUUUAAAAUUAAGAAUAUUUUAAAAAUUAUCUUUUUGACAAUUUUACAUAUAUGUCUAGUAUACCCUGUUCAUAUCCUUGGUUACCCCUCUCACUUUAUGUCCUUUUUAAAAAGUUCUCAUGUCCUUAUUGUUUUUAUGUGUAUGAUGUCUUAUCAAUAUGUAUGUUUGCAUUGUGUGCACACAGUGGAGUGCCUGGGGAGGCCAGAAGAAAGAGUAUAGGAUUUCCUAAAACAGGAGUUAGAAACAGUUCUUAUUUACCACGUGUGCUGGGAACCUAACCUCCAUCCUCUGGAAGAGCUAUCAGUGCACUUAACCUCUAAGCAGCCCCUCCUUUGUUUUCUUUUUAAAUGAUUUCACUGAGUUGAAUUAAUGUAGGCUACAUGUACAUGGAUGUGGGACCAACCGCCAGAGCUUGGGCAAUCCACCAGUGGUGCCUGCCUGCAAAACAAACACAAAUCUUUAUCUACCUCCCUGAGCAGCCAUCAACACCAGUGGUACUCACUUGGGGUGGAACCUCAUGAGUACCUUCCCCAUCCAUGAUGUGAGCUUAAUUGGCUUAAAUCUUAUGUAGGUCUUGUGCAGAUAAGCAGAGAGUUGCUGUGAGAUCAUGAGUACAUUGUCCAUGUCAGAAUACAGCACCCCUCAGCAUUCCUUCCCAACCCACCAGCUUCUCCUUUCUUUCUACCACUUCCUCCCUGAAGUUCCCUAAGCCUUGGGGAUAAAGAGUCAUACUGAGGGCUGAGCAGCUACCUAGUAGUCACUUAGUCUUAGCCCUUUGACCAUCAGGAAUCUCUGCAUGACUGCUUCCCACUGCAGAGAGAGGCUUCUCCAGCUAGUGCCUGGGGGUUGGUGUAAUGGGAUGCUACUACAUUAUUAUAUUUUGGCAGGUUGAUGAGGUUUCUUUUUAUGUUCAGUAAAUAAUUCUGUAUUUUUAGUUUGAUUGGAUAGAUUUGGGUUUUACCGUCUUGAUUGAUCAUAUCUAUUGUAGGAUGAUAGCCAAACUGCUAUGAAAUAAAGACUUGUAAUGCUGGUCUUUGGAGGGUGCCAUCUUCCAUUUGUGAAGGUGAGCUCAUAAUCCUUUGGUUUAGGACUGUUAAAGGCAUGCCAACUUUAGAGUAAGAAAAUACGCUGCAUUUAUUGGGAGCUAAAUGCAUUUUGAAUUUAGGACUUUAAAUCUGUUGUAACAUUAGGUACUGAGUCUCCCAUCCUGGUUAAACUGUCCUUUUGAGAACUGAUAGGUGCCUGGGAUUGAAUUGUUAUGCAGGACUCUGGUGUAGUGCUGCUGCUUAUCUGCACUGUACCUUUCUGUGACAAGGGACUUCUGAGGAUGUACCGCUGAGUAAUACACUUAAAAUAGUUAGCCAAAGUCUGACUGUCAACUUCAUUCUUCAUAGGGAGAAACUGUUACUCUCUUUUACAGAUGGAAUUAUAUGGAUAAAAUGUAGACAUACUUGGUGAAGUAAAAGGUCUGUACGAGUGUGGUAUGGUCUUACUACAUUCAGAUGGCCAAUGUUUUUGAAGCAAAUAGUGUGUGUCAACAAAACCAAAACCUAAUUUUGAUGCAGCUCUAAUUAAAGUGUAAACAGAAGUCAUAUACUCUCUUGAUUGUAGUGUGUGUUGUGAAAAAAUUCAAAUGAAGAAUAGAAAAUGGACCAAGUCAUGGUGAUAUAGAUACGUUGCUAAAUUAGAGUUUUUGAGGCAUAUUUUUGGAGGUACCUUUGGAUUAUUUGGAAAAGUUCAUUUGUAAAGAAUCUGUCAAAAUAUGCCUGUUUCAGUGUUGUUAUAAGCAGUUAAAUAAAUGUUUUAUUCACAUAACUGAAAUGUUUGCAGCUUAAUUUUAGUUAUUUUUUUUUCUGCUGAAUUCUAAACAGGUAUUACAGGAAUUACUGAAGCAGUUAAGGAGAUUACACUGGAAAGCAAGGUAUUACUUAACGUUUCUAAAGUCAGUGACCCUAGUUUUUGCCUAUAUUUAAAUUUUAAAUUGUAUUUGUGUAUUUAUUUUGGGUGUGUGUAUGUGAAUGUGUGUAUAUCAAGGCAAGGAUGUAGAAAUCUGGUGGAUACCUUGGGGUAGUUGGUUCUCUUGUUUCGUGAGGUGGGCCCAGCAGAUAGAAUUCAGGUAAUCAGGCUUGUAACUAAUGAAUUGCAAUAAAAGUCCUAGUGUAAUAAAUAAAAGUCCUAGUGUAACUCCACUGGACAGUAAAUGCUUAAAAGGAAGAUUUGGGAGAGGUUGCCUUUGCUGAUGAGCAGGUGCUAAUGUUAUAUUAGUACUACAUUUUGUAGUUUAUUCUAACCAAUUUUAUUGUUUUGUUUCUUAAAUUACUGGUAGUAACUUCUAAAAUUCUGUUUUUAGAGGUUUCACUGUGUACUUUAGUAUCAGCCAAAAUGGUGACAUUUUGAAAAAUCGUUUAAGUUUGUGUGGGUAAACAUAAGUAUGAUUGGGUGAAGCUUUUGUGCGACUACAUUUGCAUUCGAUUUAGGUCAGACGUUUCAGCCCUUUUCUCAGAUUGAUUGCAUCUGCUUUAUAUUUUUAUGAUUGUUUGAAAUGCUAUG
This 2697-nucleotide long non-coding RNA is filed under the name Mus musculus (house mouse). RNAcentral describes it as "long non-coding RNA chr16:45173230-45175927". Lineage: Eukaryota; Metazoa; Chordata; Mammalia; Rodentia; Muridae. The record is from RNAcentral.